RNAcentral lists this ribosomal RNA (926 nucleotides) under Hebeloma pseudofragilipes. Its description in RNAcentral is "partial large subunit ribosomal RNA". It matches the Rfam family "Eukaryotic large subunit ribosomal RNA", at positions 40 to 952 of the family's 3401-position model. Lineage: Eukaryota; Fungi; Basidiomycota; Agaricomycetes; Agaricales; Hymenogastraceae. The record is from RNAcentral.
AUAUCAAUAAGCGGGGAAAAGAAACUAACAAGGAUUCCCCUAGUAACUGCGAGUGAAGCGGGAAAAGCUCAAAUUUAAAAUCUGGCGGUCUCUGGCCGUCCGAGUUGUAAUCUAGAGAAGUGUUAUCCGCGCUGGACCGUGUACAAGUCUCCUGGAAUGGAGCGUCAUAGAGGGUGAGAAUCCCGUCUUUGACACGGACUGCCAGGGCUUUGUGAUGCGCUCUCAAAGAGUCGAGUUGUUUGGGAAUGCAGCUCAAAAUGGGUGGUAAAUUCCAUCUAAAGCUAAAUAUUGGCGAGAGACCGAUAGCGAACAAGUACCGUGAGGGAAAGAUGAAAAGAACUUUGGAAAGAGAGUUAAACAGUACGUGAAAUUGCUGAAAGGGAAACGCUUGAAGUCAGUCGCGUUGGCCGGGGAUCAACCUUGCUUUUGCUGGGCGUACUUCCCGGUUGACGGGUCAGCAUCAAUUUUGACCGUUGGAUAAAGUUCAGGGGAAUGUGGCAUCUUCGGAUGUGUUAUAGCCCUUGGUCGCAUACAACGGUUGGGAUUGAGGAACUCAGCACGCCGCAAGGCCGGGUACUUGUACCACGUUCGUGCUUAGGAUGCUGGCAUAAUGGCUUUAAUCGACCCGUCUUGAAACACGGACCAAGGAGUCUAACAUGCCUGCGAGUGUUUGGGUGGAAAACUCGGACGCGUAAUGAAAGUGAAAGUUGAGAUCCCUGUCGUGGGGAGCAUCGACGCCCGGACCAGACCUUUUGUGACGGAUCCGCGGUAGAGCAUGUAUGUUGGGACCCGAAAGAUGGUGAACUAUGCCUGAAUAGGGUGAAGCCAGAGGAAACUCUGGUGGAGGCUCGUAGCGAUUCUGACGUGCAAAUCGAUCGUCAAAUUUGGGUAUAGGGGCGAAAGACUAAUCGAAUCAUCUAGUAGCU